RNAcentral lists this unclassified non-coding RNA (1372 nucleotides) under uncultured Neocallimastigales. RNAcentral's name for it is "partial contains internal transcribed spacer 1, 5.8S ribosomal RNA, internal transcribed spacer 2, and large subunit ribosomal RNA". The stretch from base 598 to 1372 matches the Rfam family "Eukaryotic large subunit ribosomal RNA", at positions 1 to 626 of the family's 3401-position model. Lineage: Eukaryota; Fungi; Neocallimastigomycota; Neocallimastigomycetes; Neocallimastigales. The record is from RNAcentral.
AAAAUAAUCCUACCCUUUGUGAAUUUUGUUUGUUUGAAUAAUUUUUUUUUUUAAAAAAUUAUUGGAGUCUUUCCCUUUAGAGUUUGCUUUUGAGUUUGUAAAAGAAUUCGAAAACAUCUAAAGGGGAUGGUCAAUAAUUUUUUUUGAAAAAAGACAUUUUUUAAAAUUAAACUUUUUGUAUUCAUUUGUCUAAAAAUUAUUUUUAUAAUAUAAAAACAACUUUUGACAAUGGAUCUCUUGGUUCUCGCAACGAUGAAGAACGCAGCAAAAUGCGAUAAGUAGUGUGAAUUGCAGAAUACGUGAAUCAUCGAAUCUUUGAACGCAUAUUGCACUUUUUUAGUUUACUAAAAAAGUAUGUCUGUUUGAGUAUCAGUAAAAUAUUCUCAUAAAAAUCAUUGUGUAUUUUUAUGGUUAUGAGUGUUUUACAACGAUACAAGUUGUUUCACUUUAAAUUUUUUUUUUAAUAUUGAAAUUUUUCUAAUUUUAAUAAUUAAAAUUGGAUAAAAUUUUCCCGUCAAAAGGAAUAACCUAAACAAUUUUAAAUGAUUAAUUUUAGCAAAAUUUUCGAAAAAAAGGAAAAUUUUUAUUAAAAUAACUUGAUCUCAAAUCAGAUAAGAGUACCCGCUGAACUUAAGCAUAUCAAUAAGCGGAGGAAAAGAAACUAACAAGGAUUCCCUUAGUAACGGCGAGUGAAGCGGGAAGAGCUCAAAUUUGAAAUCUUCAAGGUUUUACCUUGACGAAUUGUAGUUUAAAGAAGUGUUUUCUGCUGAAGUUUUGGUAAAAGUUCUUUGGAAUAGGACAUCAUAGAGGGUGAGAAUCCCGUAUUUGACCAUUAUUUUCAGCUUUGUGGUACACUUUCAAAGAGUCGGAUUGUUUGGGAAUGCAGUCCAAAAUGGGUGGUAAAUUUCAUCUAAAGCUAAAUAUUGGCGAGAGACCGAUAGCGAACAAGUACCGUGAGGGAAAGAUGAAAAGAACUUUGAAAAGAGAGUUAAACAGUACGUGAAAUUGUCAAAAGGGAAGCGUUUGACACCAGUGUUGUUUUCUCGAAAAUCAAUUAAAAAUGGCUCGAUUUUGUAUUGCUGAGACCUUAAAAGCUCACUGUACAUUUUUCGUGUCUUUUUUAAUGCACUUUUCGUUUAACAAGUCAACAUCAGUUUCUUUUGUUGUAAAAGGGUCAUUGGAAGGUGGCUUUCUUUUCGGAGAAAGUGUUUAUAGCCUUUGGCCUCUGCAGUCGAAGAGACUGAGGUCUGCAGCGUAGACUCUUCGGGGUUAGAUACAUUUGUGCUAAGUUAUAGCUUUUUAUAGACAACUUGUUGACUAUAAUUAGUCUUGUAGCUUACUCGCUUAUGCUAUUUUACCUACGCUUAGGAUG